UACGAAGGGGGCUAGCGUUGCUCGGAAUUACUGGGCGCAAAGCGCACGUAGGCGGCUUUCUAAGUCGGGGGUGAAAUCCUGGAGCUCAACUCCAGAACUGCCUUCGAUACUGGAAAGCUCGAGUCCGGGAGAGGUGAGUGGAACUGCGAGUGUAGAGGUGAAAUUCGUAGAUAUUCGCAAGAACACCAGUGGCGAAGGCGGCUCACUGGCCCGGUACUGACGCUGAGGUGCGAAAGCGUGGGGAGCAAACAGG
RNAcentral lists this ribosomal RNA (253 nucleotides) under uncultured bacterium. Its description in RNAcentral is "partial 16S ribosomal RNA". It matches the Rfam family "Bacterial small subunit ribosomal RNA", at positions 524 to 776 of the family's 1533-position model. The record is from RNAcentral.